RNAcentral lists this ribosomal RNA (1542 nucleotides) under Salmonella enterica. Its description in RNAcentral is "bacterial SSU rRNA". It matches the Rfam family "Bacterial small subunit ribosomal RNA". RNAcentral also lists the same sequence under 1 other name. Lineage: Bacteria; Pseudomonadati; Pseudomonadota; Gammaproteobacteria; Enterobacterales; Enterobacteriaceae. The record is from RNAcentral.
AAAUUGAAGAGUUUGAUCAUGGCUCAGAUUGAACGCUGGCGGCAGGCCUAACACAUGCAAGUCGAACGGUAACAGGAAGCAGCUUGCUGCUUUGCUGACGAGUGGCGGACGGGUGAGUAAUGUCUGGGAAACUGCCUGAUGGAGGGGGAUAACUACUGGAAACGGUGGCUAAUACCGCAUAACGUCGCAAGACCAAAGAGGGGGACCUUCGGGCCUCUUGCCAUCAGAUGUGCCCAGAUGGGAUUAGCUUGUUGGUGAGGUAACGGCUCACCAAGGCGACGAUCCCUAGCUGGUCUGAGAGGAUGACCAGCCACACUGGAACUGAGACACGGUCCAGACUCCUACGGGAGGCAGCAGUGGGGAAUAUUGCACAAUGGGCGCAAGCCUGAUGCAGCCAUGCCGCGUGUAUGAAGAAGGCCUUCGGGUUGUAAAGUACUUUCAGCGGGGAGGAAGGUGUUGUGGUUAAUAACCGCAGCAAUUGACGUUACCCGCAGAAGAAGCACCGGCUAACUCCGUGCCAGCAGCCGCGGUAAUACGGAGGGUGCAAGCGUUAAUCGGAAUUACUGGGCGUAAAGCGCACGCAGGCGGUCUGUCAAGUCGGAUGUGAAAUCCCCGGGCUCAACCUGGGAACUGCAUUCGAAACUGGUAGGCUUGAGUCUUGUAGAGGGGGGUAGAAUUCCAGGUGUAGCGGUGAAAUGCGUAGAGAUCUGGAGGAAUACCGGUGGCGAAGGCGGCCCCCUGGACAAAGACUGACGCUCAGGUGCGAAAGCGUGGGGAGCAAACAGGAUUAGAUACCCUGGUAGUCCACGCCGUAAACGAUGUCUACUUGGAGGUUGUGCCCUUGAGGCGUGGCUUCCGGAGCUAACGCGUUAAGUAGACCGCCUGGGGAGUACGGCCGCAAGGUUAAAACUCAAAUGAAUUGACGGGGGCCCGCACAAGCGGUGGAGCAUGUGGUUUAAUUCGAUGCAACGCGAAGAACCUUACCUGGUCUUGACAUCCACAGAACUUUCCAGAGAUGGAUUGGUGCCUUCGGGAACUGUGAGACAGGUGCUGCAUGGCUGUCGUCAGCUCGUGUUGUGAAAUGUUGGGUUAAGUCCCGCAACGAGCGCAACCCUUAUCCUUUGUUGCCAGCGGUCCGGCCGGGAACUCAAAGGAGACUGCCAGUGAUAAACUGGAGGAAGGUGGGGAUGACGUCAAGUCAUCAUGGCCCUUACGACCAGGGCUACACACGUGCUACAAUGGCGCAUACAAAGAGAAGCGACCUCGCGAGAGCAAGCGGACCUCAUAAAGUGCGUCGUAGUCCGGAUUGGAGUCUGCAACUCGACUCCAUGAAGUCGGAAUCGCUAGUAAUCGUGGAUCAGAAUGCCACGGUGAAUACGUUCCCGGGCCUUGUACACACCGCCCGUCACACCAUGGGAGUGGGUUGCAAAAGAAGUAGGUAGCUUAACCUUCGGGAGGGCGCUUACCACUUUGUGAUUCAUGACUGGGGUGAAGUCGUAACAAGGUAACCGUAGGGGAACCUGCGGUUGGAUCACCUCCUUA